Molecule: ribosomal RNA, 357 nt
Filed under: Eukaryota sp.
Lineage: Eukaryota
Description: SSU rRNA
Rfam family: Eukaryotic small subunit ribosomal RNA
Source: RNAcentral
UCCGAUAACGAACGAGACCUCUACCUGCUAAAUAGUGACCGGUUCCGUCUGGAACGACGGUCUACUUCUUAGAGGGACUGCGGUCGUCUAUAGACCGCGGAAGUUGGAGGCAAUAACAGGUCUGUGAUGCCCUUCGAUGUUCUGGGCCGCACGCGCGCUACACUGGUGUAGGCAGCGAGUCAUUGCUCGGUCGUCAGACCAGGCUAAACUUGCAAACUACACCGUGAUGGGGAUCGUCCCUUGCAAUUUUUGGACGUGAACGAGGAAUUCCUAGUAAGUACCGGUCAUCAGCCGGUGCUGAUUUCGUCCCUGCUCUUUGUACACACCGCCCGUCGCUAGUACCGAUUGAAUGGGUAA